Molecule: small nucleolar RNA, 66 nt
Filed under: Cercocebus atys (sooty mangabey)
Lineage: Eukaryota; Metazoa; Chordata; Mammalia; Primates; Cercopithecidae
Description: Small nucleolar RNA SNORD37 (ENSCATG00000020666.1)
Rfam family: Small nucleolar RNA SNORD37
About the family: U37 is a member of the C/D class of snoRNA which contain the C (UGAUGA) and D (CUGA) box motifs. Most of the members of the box C/D family function in directing site-specific 2'-O-methylation of substrate RNAs.
Source: Rfam by way of RNAcentral
GUUCGUGAUGACUGAUAAUUUCUUCACUUUGACCUGAUGUCUACUGAAGAAAUCCAGCGUCUGAGG